AGUGAACGCUGGCGGUAGGCCUAACACAUGCAAGUCGAACGGCAGCACAGUAAGAGCUUGCUCUUACGGGUGGCGAGUGGCGGACGGGUGAGGAAUACAUCGGAAUCUACUUUUUCGUGGGGGAUAACGUAGGGAAACUUACGCUAAUACCGCAUACGACCUACGGGUGAAAGCAGGGGAUCUUCGGACCUUGCGCGAUUGAAUGAGCCGAUGUCGGAUUAGCUAGUUGGCGGGGUAAAGGCCCACCAAGGCGACGAUCCGUAGCUGGUCUGAGAGGAUGAUCCGCCACACUGGAACUGAGACACGGUCCAGACUCCUAAGGGAGGCAGCAGUGGGGAAUAUUGGACAAUGGGCGCAAGCCUGAUCCAGCCAUACCGCGUGGGUGAAGAAGGCCUUCGGGUUGUAAAGCCCUUUUGUUGGGAAAGAAAAGCAGCAGGUUAAUACCCCGCUGUUCUGACGGUACCCAAAGAAUAAGCACCGGCUAACUUCGUG
RNAcentral lists this ribosomal RNA (492 nucleotides) under uncultured bacterium. Its description in RNAcentral is "partial 16S ribosomal RNA". It matches the Rfam family "Bacterial small subunit ribosomal RNA", at positions 29 to 507 of the family's 1533-position model. The record is from RNAcentral.